RNAcentral lists this ribosomal RNA (448 nucleotides) under uncultured bacterium. RNAcentral's name for it is "bacterial SSU rRNA". It matches the Rfam family "Bacterial small subunit ribosomal RNA", at positions 355 to 796 of the family's 1533-position model. The record is from RNAcentral.
UCGAGGAUUUUUCUCAAUGGGGGAAACCCUGAAGGAGCGACGCCGCGUGAGGGAUGAAGGUCUUCGGAUUGUAAACCUCUGUCAUCUGGGAACAAUGUGAUCUACCUAACACGUGGAUCAUUGAUAGUACCGGAAGAGGAAGCAGUGGCUAACUCUGUGCCAGCAGCCGCGGUAAUACAGAGACUGCAAGCGUUGUUCGGAUUCAUUGGGCGUAAAGGGUGCGCAGGCGGUGCGUUAAGUCGGGUGUGAAAUCUCACAGCCUAACUGUGAUAGGUCAUUCGAAACUGGCGCGCUAGAGGACUGGAGAGGAGACUGGAAUGGUCGGUGUAGCGGUGAAAUGCGUAGAGAUCGACCAGAACACCGGUGGCGAAGGCGGGUCUCUGGACAGUUCCUGACGCUCAGGCACGAAAGCCAGGGGAGCAAACGGGAUUAGAUACCCGCGUAGUCC